RNAcentral lists this long non-coding RNA (960 nucleotides) under Helianthus annuus (common sunflower). The record is from RNAcentral. Lineage: Eukaryota; Viridiplantae; Streptophyta; Magnoliopsida; Asterales; Asteraceae.
AUGUGCAUUCAUUUAUAUUGUGUGUCAUUAUGUAAGGGGAACAUUUCCCGGACCAUUAGGAACAAGUUUUAUAUGAUUCGGUUGUCGGUUAGUGAAUGAACGGAUUGUUUCGUGUUAGUGUAGGAAAUUUUAUAAGUAUAUGUGUAUAGGAAUCCAAAGGGCACGUGGGUUGAAUCAUGGAUUGUCUAUACUAUGUAAAGUUGUGAAUGUGACAUUCCGGCAUAAACCUACAUGUAAAAGAAGCUUGUGUAUAUAUUCGUGAUUAAUUGAUUGUGCGUAGGAAGGAACAUUGGCAUGUAUGAAGGUACGCAUGUAUAUAUAUAAGUGUAUAUAUAUAUGUAUGUAUGUAUGAUAAUAAGUACGUAAGUGUGAAUGUAUGUGUGAAUGAAUGUUCAAUGCUUAAGACAUAUGCAUGAACGUUAUCAAAGUGUUCGAGUAUUUAUGGUUACUAAUGAUGUGCGUUGAGUUGGAAUGUAAUGUAGUUAUGGGAUCGUUGGCUUCAUGAAGAAAUGGAGCUGGAUUUGGAUAAGAGUAUUAAGAAAGUGCUUGGACAAUUCCACGACUACUUUAUAGAAUGCUCUACGAAACUCUAUUAUAUAAUUUAAUGUUGUAUGGUAUGUUAAUGACUAAUGGUUUGGUUGUACGUGGUGUCCACAGGUAUCGCUUGGGUUUUCUCUACAUUUAUUGAAGUGAAGCGGACUUAGUUCGAGUUGAGAGCAAGGAUUGUACGGGGUAGAAUGGUCACAUAGUGUAACUCAUAUAGGUUUUGAAGUAUUAAUGUUAUAAAACAUUAUAAAUCCGUUUUAAUGAAUAUAUGGUAUUUCGCAUUUGAACCUUCAUGUGUUUGAUAUGUCUAUUAAAGAACGAAAUUUUUGGGCUCUUGUUUUCCGCUGCGUCGUAUUUUAAGUUAUUACACGUUAGUCUUACAGGGAAUUGUUCUUAUUACGAACGGGUCAUGCC